This 397-nucleotide ribosomal RNA is filed under the name uncultured bacterium. Its description in RNAcentral is "bacterial SSU rRNA". It matches the Rfam family "Bacterial small subunit ribosomal RNA", at positions 29 to 416 of the family's 1533-position model. The record is from RNAcentral.
AACGAACGCUGGCGGCGCGCCUAACACAUGCAAGUCGAACGAGAAGGCGUAGCAAUACGCUUGUACAGUGGCGAACGGGUGAGGAACACGUGGGUAACCUACCCUCGAGUGGGGAAUAACCAACCGAAAGGUUGGCUAAUGCCGCGUAAGCUUCCAUCUCUUCGGAGGUGGAAGGAAAGCUGUACCGUGGGUACAGCGCUCAAGGAUGGGCUCACGUCCUAUCAGCUUGUUGGAGGGUAACGGCCUACCAAGGCAACGACGGGUAGCUGGUCUGAGAGGACGAUCAGCCACACUGGCACUGCGACACGGGCCAGACUCCUACGGGAGGCAGCAGUGAGGAAUAUUGCGCAAUGGGCGAAAGCCUGACGCAGCGACGCCGCGUGGGGGAGUGAAGGUC